UUACAUAUAAACUUGCCAUAUUGCUUUUCGCGGUGUAAAUAUGCGUCAGCCGUGAGUUCCUGUUUGUGGCGAGUAUAUUAAGGCACAUUUCAUAGAAAGCUAUACCCAUUUCGAGUAGGCCUAAUAGGAGGAAACGGUAACUAAUCUUUUAAGGGGAGCAAAUGAAUAAGCACUCUGUCAUAACUGCAGCGGUUUGCUAUCCUGUGGUGGAUUUGGGAAUAUAUUUGCUACAUUUCAUUGGAAAGUAGUAUGUUCGUCCAGCCUUCGUCCAGGUUCUGUCAACGGUGGUUAGUUAGCUAAUAACCAAGACACUACGGUAAGUCAUAAUGUUAGCCCUUCUGGGAUUCAUUUGGUUGCUAUUUAGCAUAGUUCUAGCUUAUAACGGAUGGUUGGCUGUCAGUGGUUGGGCAGAUUCUUUUUAGGUAGGGGGCUAAGUGUGUCUACUCGACGAUAAAUUGAGGUUACACAGUGAGGCGAUAUACUUUCUAUACGGGCUGUGAUACUACUAGCCUAAUGCAGGACGCAACUGACACAAAUCUGAGAAAUUAGCUAACUCUAGCCGCUACCUGGCUUCACUCAACCUAGAAUUCUGUUCAUAACGACAGCAUUUUCGUUUGGGGGCCGCAAGCUGGCAUCUGAAGGCUGUCUUCGGUUUCCACAAGUGUCAUGUUAGUUCUACAUACUGUAGGGGAGUCGACGGGCUUUCUUCUUUUUCUGUGUCAACUAGAACUAGUUUUAUGAGAGCAAGUGCUUGUGUUGUGUGACUUCUCCUGACUCCUGCGAUGUUCUUCCGAGGCCGAGCUCACUGCGACUUGCACCUUUCACAAGUCCGAACUCUGAUAAAUGCAGAGGGAGGGAUAGCUCGCGCAUUAAAUAUUACCGGUAUGUUAGGUGUGGUAAGUCGCAUCGUGUGUUUGGGCAGCUUGCCUGUGCAAGAAAAUGUUGUCGCGACAAUUGUUUAUUGUUUGUGUGUCAACUGGCGUUUCUUAUCUCGUAUGUGCUUUGCUUGCUUGAUUAGAGUCGUAGCUCUACUACGUAGCUGUUUGAUAAAUGCGGAUGAAGGCUACGCGUGGAAAACGUGUUUACAUUCACCAGUCGUUGUGUUCCAAAAUUACUUAAAUGUGGAGGGAAUAGUUAUCCAAUUUCUUUCAUUCACGAGCAGGGAUGUGUUGCUUUGUUGACGCUACAGGGAAGUUUCCUGGUUUAAAGAAAUUUGUGGCUAUAGGCAACAGCUACUUCAACAUGCUUUGCAUGAAAUCGUGCGUGUGUAACUUAGUUCUAGUGUGAGUGUGUGAUAUUGUACUCUGUGCAGUAUUUACGAAGGGACUGGUUGGUUAAUAUUUUUGUUUAUGUAAAUGAAAAAUGUAAAGUUGUGUGUAGUAGUGAGACAAAAGCCUUUCAUACAUUUAUUUAAGGUUGUCUGUUGUCUGUUUGAAGGUGUGUCUGCAAAGCUCUGAAACGUUUUGUCUUUUUUUAUCUCUUCUGCUCUGGAUAAGGUGGACUUCUCUCCUCUGACCGGUUACCAAGACAGCUGGGUGUGUAGGAAACUGGAACUAAGUCACUGAAGAAGUAAACCGAUGAAAACCGAUUUGGAUUGUCUGAGAGAUGUAACUGUAGGGCACAAGUAAGAGGAGAAGAAUGCUGCUCAGCUGGGUCGGCGUCGGCCACACUACUUAUUCAAGAAGCCCUUGGAUAUCAUCGGCAUGUAUGAAGCACAGUCAUUCCGGUAGUCCGUUCCUCGAUGGACGUGAUGACCUGGCACCAAAACCGCUUAAUGUGUACGGAGCUGUGUCUGCAUCGAGGGAAGAACGCGGCACUGAAAUGACACAAAUGAAAGAAGAUUACUUCUGCUCUGCUGGGUCUGUGACACUAUUUAUCCGAGGAGUCCUCAAACAUCAGGAUGUAGGAAGACACAAGUAAAAGGAGAAGAAUGCUGCUCAGCUGGGUCGGCGGCCACACUACUUAUUCAAGAAGCCCUUGGAUAUCAUCAGCAUGUAUGAAACUUGUGGUGAGAUGCCAAGAGCUGCCAUGAGGGAUAUGCAACCUGCAGCUUCACCGUGCUUUUGGGAGGUCAUCUACUACGUGAACCUUAAUAUCUACAAGUCAGCUACUUUAAAUCCUUGAAAGGGUAGUGAUGUCAAUCAAAUCAGAUCACGAGACAAGGUCCUGAGGUACAAACUGUCAAUAUAAUUGCGACAUCCCUGUCAGUUCUUUUGGACUGGAUACAUGCUGUGUUUGAAAUGUAUUAUUUGGAUAACCACCCAUCAGGGAAUACCUUGUUUGUUAAUGACAGAUAGACCUGCCAUGGACAUGUAGUGCACACUUUGAUGUUUUUUUAUUUUAACGUUUUCUAUGUUUUUUCAAUGUUUUUUUAUUUAUGUUCUGUUAUAUGCUGGUUAUGUAAGUACUGUAUGGAAUGUAGUGACUGUAGAGACCAAGACAAAUUUCAACCUGGGGACAAUUAAGUUCACUCCACUCUGUUAGCGCAGUUAUGGAUGCACUGUAAAGUUUGUAAUUAACAAAAAGUACGGUGAGAAGCCUGUUUGUGCAGAUGGACCUGCUGGCGGGUCUGUUUACUCAUAGCUAAAAAGCAACAUAUUCUCUGUGCAAAGCACAUGGGCUCUUCGCAAAGGGGUUAAACAUUUUAAUGUGCUGUUUUACAGUGUGCUAUACAAAAGGUAAGGUGAAACUAAAUUUUUGAAUUUCUAUAAUUGUACAGUGUCACUGAAAUCAAAUGGUACAUUGGUAAAACAGAACCAUUUCCUUUAACCCCUUUUAGCAGACCCUAUGUUUUAACUUUACUGUCACCAAUAUUGUAAUGACUGAGUUUUAACCUGUUACUUAAAGCUCUUGGUAAUGUCAUAGCAAUGUUGCUGUGAUGUAGUUGAGUCUUUUCGGUCAUGAGUGAUCAGUCUUGCUGAUAACCCAUCUUUGCAAAGAGGCUAAAAAGAUGCAUGUAAAUUCAAUUAAGGUUUUAUUGCUUCAAUGCUAUGAUGUGUUAAUGCUACACUG
Molecule: long non-coding RNA, 3012 nt
Organism: Engraulis encrasicolus (European anchovy)
Lineage: Eukaryota; Metazoa; Chordata; Actinopteri; Clupeiformes; Engraulidae
Exons: 6
Source: RefSeq, a predicted model, not a curated record